AUCUGCCAUAAGACACCAAUUUUAUAUUCUCCUAUGAACUUGUUAGUAUUCUUUAUAUAGUAGUAAUCUUCAUGUGGGUUUCUCAAAAUGAUAGACUGGACCUGAAGGCCAUGUGGGUUUUGCAGAUAUGGAUAUGGUUCUUCUGAAUAGAAGAAUCCAAUUGUGGUUUUUAGAGGAUCAUUACUUGAAUGCAGAUCCAACUGUAGAACGUUAUUGAUGUGUUAGAAACUUAAAAUUGUAGUUCAUGGUGGGGUUAGUGGGCAUGUUGCUUGCUCCAUCUGUCAUUUUCCAAUCUUCAAUUGCACAUGGAGCAUUGUCUCUGCAAAUUAUUUAGGUCUAUACCUUCAAUCUGCUGAAAAAAUCAGUCAUUAUUGAUUUGUGUCGGUGGAAUUAUUGAUUUCCAUUGCAUUUAACUGUAAAUUUGUCAGGAAAAUGACCAAAAUCUCUAAAAUCACAGUAGUAUUCAUUGGCUAAAAAUGCUAUUUUUGAUGCUAUAACUCUGAAGAAUCAGAUUUGUUUAGUAGGCUGAUGGCAGAUGAUAAUGCUAAGCAGUCCUUGCUUUCUGAGACGGUUGAUCCUUUUCAUUUGAAUGAAAGCAAUGCCCUCAAGAGAAGGAAAAUCCGCCGUUGUGGGAGUGCUCCUUCAUCAGUUAUGAAUUGCUCGGGACACAAUGGCAUUGGGUCUCUUCCACAUCUUAAAUCCAUGUUUGUGAAACUAGAACCUAGUUUCAAACAAGUAUUCAUCUUAUUGGCUGCCUAUCUCGCUGUUGGGACUCUCUGCUUCUACCUAAUUAGGGAUCAGAUCAAGGGUAGGAAAACGAAUGGGGUUCUUGAUGCUGUUUACUUCUGUGUUGUGACAAUGACCACUGUUGGAUAUGGGGAUCUCGUGCCUGAUACCAUUUUGGCGAAGCUACUGGCCUGUGUUUUUGUCUUCAGUGGCAUGGCUCUUGGUGGGCUAAUUCUUAGUAGAGCAGCAGACUAUAUUGUAGAAAAGCAGGAAGUCCUUUUAGUUAAGGCCAUGCACAGGCAUGAAAAAGCUGGUCCUGCUGAGAUUCUGAAGGAUGUUGAGACCAACAAAGUCAAAUACAAAUUUUUUCUGGCCCUGAUCCUUCUUUUGGUGCUUAUAAUUGUGGGAACCCUCUUGUUGUCCUUAGUGGAGAAACUGAGUUUCAUUGAUGCCUUCUACUGUGUCUGUGUCACCGUCACUACUCUGGGGUACGGCGAUGAGAGUUUCUCUACUGGAGUUGGUCGUGCAUUUGCUGUUUUUUGGAUACUUAGCAGUACCAUUUGUUUAGCUCAGUUCUUUCUCUACCUUGCUGAACUAUACACCGAAGGCAGGCAAAGAUCACUAGUCAAAUGGGUUCUUACUCGAAAAAUGACAUUCUCAGAUCUUGAGGGAGCAGAUCUUGAUCACGAUCAAGCUGUCUGUGCUGCUGAGUUCAUCUUAUACAAGCUCAAAGAAAUGGGAAAGAUCAGCCAGGAAGAUAUGUUGCUUUGGAUGGAGAGGUUUAAAGAUCUUGAUGUUGAUGGCUCAGGAACUUUGACAAGAGCUAACCUAAUGCUUUCCCAGUGACAUUGAACUAACCUUAUCGAGCUGGUACUCUAAUUUUGUAAAACAUGUAUAGCUUUUUUUCCCUUCUUUUCAUAAAAGGAUUAUGCUUUCCAUAAUUUACAGAAUUAGCAGCCAUUAUUUCAUUGUAUCUCACCUGUAUGCUCAUCUAUUGAUGCCUGAAGACCCAAAUGAAACUAUGAUCUUUACUUUGCUAGAUGCUGAGCUCUUUGCUACCAUUAUGGUCAGUAAUAGCAUGACUUCUAGCAAUUUAUUCCCAAUUCAUGCUUCAGUUCUAAACAACUUUUAUCUAUUUAAGGGGAGUAAUAAAAUGGUAACUGUACAAUUACUUUUAUGGAGCAUUAUAUAAUCCUUAUCUUGCUUGUGUUAUCUGCCUUUUUGCUUACUUGUACUAGAAUUGUAUACAUUGCUGCUGUGAAUAGUUUCUAUUGUGAUAAUUGCACACAUGUUUUGUACUAUCUGGGCAGCAAAAACUAUUAUAUGAUCAAAUGGGAAAUCAGAAAUGUAGUCUCCAUUAAUACUACUUCCUAAGAAUUGAGAUGGUUAUUUAACUUCUACCGGUAUUUGUUAUGGCUUCCUGAAUAUUUACCAUCUAUUAUUUAUGACUAGUCAUAGUAGCAGGGAAAAGCUGGAAAAGGCAUGGCUACGUGAGGAUUUUCACCUUGAAACGUAUCCUAGAUAUUGGGAGGAUGUGUUCUCAUCUGAUGGAAAAAUUGAAGAAAAUGGUAGUAUUUCAAUGUUGAACUCUGCCUUGACACACAAUGUGAAGGGAGUUAAAUUUCAGGUUUCUUGCCAUGGUAUCUGGUUAAGGGUGGAAAUCUGGUCAGUACUUGGAAUUCAAGGAGCUUGAACCAAGCCUAGUUUGGACUCUGGAUGAAUCCCUUUCUUUGUGGUUUGAUUCAGAGCAUGCCUAGUUUUGACCUUCUCCAUCGUAUUUGUCUCCUUGAACAGGUUGACAUUUUUUUAGCAAUCAAUCGGUCUGUGCCAUAUUCAAGGAGAAAACAGUGAAAAAGAAUAUAUAACCAACACAAGUGCUAGGUGGUGAAAGCUGGCCAAACACGAUCAUUAUCAUCAACAACACAGCUGUGGAGACAAAGAGAGGCCAGAAGUAUGCAAGAAUGGUUAGGAAGCGAGGCGCCACUUGAAACAGCAAGGCGAGGAUUAUUGAAACGACGACUGUUAUGAUGAAGUGAUAUUGAUACUGCAUUAGCUUUGUUUGGAUCUCCAUGGUUCCCUUCAUUCUUGAAGUAUGAAGAUUGUUUCCCCCUUUGCAGGGAUCCUAUGCUGCAAAUGCCGCUUUCAAGAAUUUCCCCUGUCUUGGUUCAUCCAUCUGCUAUUUAUUUUCUCAGGUGAACCAUUCUUCUGAAGCUCUAAUGACCAAAAUACCUUCCUUCCUCAGCAUAACCUUAGACCCAACUGUAAGGAACUUCACCAGUUAUAAUUACCAAAUAAUGAAUUCCCAAAUACCUUUAUGAUUCUGUUGUUGCUCUGGUUGGGUCUGGUAUCUACUGCAGCUGGGGUUAGGUGCUUGAUUUCAUGUAUCACCAACCUUGAGGGUAAUUGCAGAUGGCUGGAGGGGUCCUUUGGUAAUUACAGGAGAACCAAGAGAACAUUUUGGUAUAUAUUCUUCAUCCACUCCUUUGAUUCGAUGGUUGCUUUGUCCCUUUUCAAGUGCCUACUUUUCAAUUGGAAUGAAGAUUAAGAUACAGGAAAGGCAUAGCUUCUUUUUUUCUCCUUUAUGGUAAUGAAUUGAGGAAAGGAUUAGCUGAUCAAACAAGAAAUGAGAGUCAUCUUGGCCAAGUUUAUUCUUCUUUUGGACUUUCACUAUUAAAUAUGAUUACUUUGUGGGAGGGUUUUGUAGAUAUCAUCCAUUGUCUCUUUCUUUUGUGAUUCUAUACUUUCAUAUUGAUGAAAUCAUUAUUUCUAUGCUCA
This is an RNA transcript of Vitis riparia (riverbank grape), 3501 nucleotides long. It is a transcript of the gene named two pore potassium channel a-like, with no coding region annotated. Lineage: Eukaryota; Viridiplantae; Streptophyta; Magnoliopsida; Vitales; Vitaceae. The transcript is spliced from 4 exons. The record is from RefSeq and is a predicted model, not a curated record.